RNAcentral lists this long non-coding RNA (1736 nucleotides) under Helianthus annuus (common sunflower). Its description in RNAcentral is "hypothetical non coding rna". Lineage: Eukaryota; Viridiplantae; Streptophyta; Magnoliopsida; Asterales; Asteraceae. The record is from RNAcentral.
UUGAUCAAAUUGAAGCCCAAAUCAAGAGCCAAAUCACUGCAUGAACACAAAUUCGUGAUCACCUAAUCAUGGGGAUUACAAGUUUGACGCGUCACAAGCUAGGUGGAAGCUUGGAGUGAAAGCGGGUCAAACAAGGCAAGCAUGGAAGAAAGGCGUAGCUCGGAUGCAAGGUAAGUGAAACUUACAUAAUUGUGUAGAUUACUUGUUCAUUCUAUACGUUAUAGAUGCAAUAAUGCUAAUAUUGAAAAUAUGGAUUCCGACGUGAUUGAUACGAGUCGGAACAUAUAAAGAUGAUUAAAAACCAUGUUUAUGGCAAAAAGGGGAUUUGGUAAUGAAAUCCGGGACGGGAUGGAUGUAUGAAUUAGAAGUCAAAAACCAUGUUUUUGAUUUAAUAGGCAACGUUGGGCAUAUAGGCCGAACGGGUCAAAUGGUGGUGAUAACACUAUUUGACAAUAUCGACUAAUGCGAUUGUCAAGUCUUGUGUUAACAGGAGCGAUUAGCGAUUCAGUUAAUUUCGCCCACGCUAAGUGUGAUGGUAAAAGCAAGGUAUAAAUUGGGUCUAUAUGUUGACCCUAGCCAGGUACGUAUGCAUACGAUUAUAGUUAACAUACAAACUUGGUCAAAUAAGUAAUGAAAGCCCCUCGUAGUAAAUGAGGGGCUAAUGUCGACUAAAAUGCCCUUGAAGGGUAAAUUGAGCAAACAACUUAUAAAGGUUGUUUAGGAACUUAUCUUACGAUCUUGUAACCUUUAGACGCGCAUGAAAGUUGUAGACAUAAACUUUCAAGAGUUAAAUGCUUAAAUUGUGUGUUGCCGCAAAAAUAACACAUCCGUAGAAUUAAACUCGAAAUAAAUAGUCCAUUUCGUUAAAUCCACCACAUUCAUAGUUGUGGUGGAAGACUAGCUAAUAACAAAUUGGUGGAACUAUGAGGUACAUGAGAAAUGAGCACCGUCCGUGCUAAAAUGGUCGUAAAUACCCUUAACGGGUCAAAAUAAGAUUUUAAACGAAAACGGGUAAAUAAUUGUGUAGAAACCCGUGUUCAGUACUUAAUAUGAUUGACAAUAUUAGAAUUUAAGGGUUCAUGAUGAAUGGUGGUCAAACAAACAUGUUUGUUUGAUAAUCACAUAGUCGGGUCGAAAAUUGUUGAAAAGAUAAUAAGCCGAAGGCUUAAAAGUCUCAAUUUUAUUUAAUCCGGAUGUCAGAUCUUAACUCCAUAUAAUGGAGAAUUAAAUUACAAACAUGUGGGAAGAAACGGUAGGUCAAACGGAUAAGCGGUUUGAAAGAUACGAAAGAUUUCGUGUCAAUUUACGGCAAAAUGGAAAGGUGGGAUGCAGGUGCCACCGUAAAUUACGGUGCCACCGUAAUUUACGGUGGACCUGAAAUGGUUUACGGUGAAACACUCCUGAAUUACGAUGGAAACAAAUCAAAACAAGGACUACCGUAAAUUACGGUGUCCACCGUAAUUUACGGUGGACCCUGUACAAAAUGUAUUUUGAUCAGUUUUGUUUCCCGGACUUGUUUAGAUACGUUUUAAAUCCCGUAUGACUAAAGCAUUUCAUGUUUUUAUGAAAUGUAGGUACUUGUGGAAGCCGGAAGACGAUCAAGCUCAACGAAGAACCGAACACGAUACAGUUACAUGCUUCCGCACUUCGCCACGUUGUAAAUUUUAAACAACGAACUUCGAUCACGUUAUGUAGAAUAAUUUAUAAUUUGUAAAAGUUUUAAAUAAACCCGCAUU